AGAUUACCCGCUGAAUUUAAGCAUAUCACUAAGCGGAGGAAAAGAAACU
This 49-nucleotide ribosomal RNA is filed under the name Cryptogemma periscelida. Its description in RNAcentral is "Gemmula periscelida partial 28S ribosomal RNA". Lineage: Eukaryota; Metazoa; Mollusca; Gastropoda; Neogastropoda; Turridae. The record is from RNAcentral.